This 416-nucleotide ribosomal RNA is filed under the name uncultured eukaryote. RNAcentral describes it as "SSU rRNA". It matches the Rfam family "Eukaryotic small subunit ribosomal RNA", at positions 592 to 1013 of the family's 1831-position model. The record is from RNAcentral.
CAAUAGCGUAUAUUAAAGUUGUUGUGGUUAAAAAGCUCGUAGUUGGAUUUCUGCUGAGGACGACCGGUCCGCCCUCCGGGUGAGCAUCUGGUUCGGCCUUGGCAUCUUCUUGGCGAACGUAUCUGCACUUGACUGUGUGGUGCGGUGCCCAGGACUUUUACUUGAGGAAAUUAGAGUGUUUCAAGCAGGCAUACGCCUUGAAUACAUUAGCAUGGAAUAAUAAGAUAGGACCUCGGUUCUAUUUUGUUGGUUUCUAGAGCUGAGGUAAUGAUUAAUAGGGACAGUUGGGGGUAUUCAUAUUUAAUUGUCAGAGGUGAAAUUCUUGGAUUUAUGAAAGAUGAACUACUGCGAAAGCAUUUACCAAGGAUGUUUUCAUUAAUCAAGAACGAAAGUUAGGGGAUCGAAGACGAUUAGAU